Molecule: ribosomal RNA, 188 nt
Filed under: uncultured bacterium
Lineage: Bacteria
Description: partial 16S ribosomal RNA
Rfam family: Bacterial small subunit ribosomal RNA
Source: RNAcentral
CCUUCAUGAAGCCGGAAUUGCUAGUAAUGGCAGGUCAGCAUACUGCCGUGAAUACGUUCCCGGGCCUUGUACACACCGCCCGUCACACCAUGAGAGUUGGGGAUACCCGAAGCCUGUGAGCUAACUAUUUAUAGGAGCAGCAGUCGAAGGUAGAAUCAAUGAUUGGGGUGAAGUCGUAACAAGGUAUC